Non-coding RNA from Phrynosoma platyrhinos (Desert horned lizard), 70 nucleotides. The record is from the annotation of a GenBank genome assembly. Lineage: Eukaryota; Metazoa; Chordata; Lepidosauria; Squamata; Phrynosomatidae.
GCCAGCAUGGCAUAGUGGUUUGGACGUUGGACUACGACUCUAGAGACCAGAGUUCAAUUCCCACUUGGCC